RNAcentral lists this ribosomal RNA (527 nucleotides) under Pestalotiopsis sp. JL2. RNAcentral's name for it is "eukaryotic LSU rRNA". The stretch from base 150 to 303 matches the Rfam family "5.8S ribosomal RNA". Lineage: Eukaryota; Fungi; Ascomycota; Sordariomycetes; Amphisphaeriales; Sporocadaceae. The record is from RNAcentral.
GGGGGCUUUGAGUUUUCUAACUCCCAACCCAUGUGAACUUACCUUUUGUUGCCUCGGCAGAAGUUAUAGGUCUUCUUAUAGCUGCUGCCGGUGGACCAUUAAACUCUUGUUAUUUUAUGUAAUCUGAGCGUCUUAUUUUAAUAAGUCAAAACUUUCAACAACGGAUCUCUUGGUUCUGGCAUCGAUGAAGAACGCAGCGAAAUGCGAUAAGUAAUGUGAAUUGCAGAAUUCAGUGAAUCAUCGAAUCUUUGAACGCACAUUGCGCCCAUUAGUAUUCUAGUGGGCAUGCCUGUUCGAGCGUCAUUUCAACCCUUAAGCCUAGCUUAGUGUUGGGAAUCUACUUCUCUUAGGAGUUGUAGUUCCUGAAAUACAACGGCGGAUUUGUAGUAUCCUCUGAGCGUAGUAAUUUUUUUCUCGCUUUUGUUAGGUGCUAUAACUCCCAGCCGCUAAACCCCCAAUUUUUUGUGGUUGACCUCGGAUCAGGUAGGAAUACCCGCUGAACUUAAGCAUAUCAAUAAGCGGAGGAA